AGUCGUACGAGAUUUUCCUAGUGGCGAACGGGUGCGUAACAUGUGAGAAUCUACCCUUGAGAGGGGAAUAACAUUUGGAAACGAAUGCUAAAUCCCCAUAUGCCGAGAGGUGAAAUAGUUUUUCUGCUCGGGGAUGAGCUCAUAUCUGAUUAGCUUGUUGGUAAGGUAAAGGCUUACCAAGGCCAUGAUCAGUAGCUGGUUUGAGAGAACGAUCAGCCACACUGGGACUGAGACACGGCCCAGACUCCUCCGGGAGGCAGCAGUGAGGAAUUUUCCGCAAUGGGCGAAAGCCUGACGGAGCAAUACCGCGUGAGGGACGAAGGAUUUUGGUCUGUAAACCUCUUUUUUCAAGAAAGAAGUUCUGACGGUACUUGAAGAAUAAGCAUCGGCUAACUCCGUGCCAGCAGCCGCGGUAAUACGGGGGAUGCAAGCGUUAUCCGGAAUUAUUGGGCGUAAAGCGCCUGUAGGUGGCUUAUUAAGUCCGUUGUUAAAGGUUAGGGCUCAACCCUAAAAAAGCAAUGGAAACUGGUAAGCUUGAGUAUGGCAGGGGUAGAGGGAAUUUCUAGUGUAGCGGUGAAAUGCGUAGAUAUUAGAAAGAACACCGGUGGCGAAAGCGCUCUACUGGACCAUUACUGACACUCAGAGGCGAAAGCUAGGGGAGCAAAAGGGAUUAGAUACCCCUGUAGUCCUAGCCGUAAACGAUGGAUACUAGAUGUUGGAUUAUAUAGACAGUAUCGUAGCUAACGCGUUAAGUAUCCCGCCUGGGGAGUACGCUCGCAAGGGUGAAACUCAAAGGAAUUGACGGGGGCCCGCACAAGCAGUGGAGCA
This 828-nucleotide ribosomal RNA is filed under the name uncultured cyanobacterium. RNAcentral describes it as "bacterial SSU rRNA". It matches the Rfam family "Bacterial small subunit ribosomal RNA", at positions 60 to 939 of the family's 1533-position model. Lineage: Bacteria; Bacillati; Cyanobacteriota. The record is from RNAcentral.